GAUGAACGCUGGCGGCGUGCCUAAUACAUGCAAGUCGAGCGAACAGACGAGGAGCUUGCUCCUUUGACGUUAGCGGCGGACGGGUGAGUAACACGUGGGUCACCUACCUCUAAGACUGGGAUAACUUCGGGAAACCGGAGCUAAUACCGGAUAAUAUUUCGAACCGCAUGGUUCGAUAGUGAAAGAUGGCUUUGCUAUCACUUAUAGACGGACCCGCGUCGUAUUAGCUAGUUGGUAAGGUAACGGCUUACCAAGGCAACGAUACGUAGCCGACCUGAGAGGGUGAUCGGCCACACUGGAACUGAGACACGGUCCAGACUCCUACGGGAGGCAGCAGUAGGGAAUCUUCCGCAAUGGGCGAAAGCCUGACGGAGCAACGCCGCGUGAGUGAUGAAGGUCUUCGGAUCGUAAAACUCUGUUAUUGGGGAAGAACAAACGUGUAAGUAACUGUGCACGUCUUGACGGUACCUAAUCAGAAAGCCACGGCUAACUACGUG
Molecule: ribosomal RNA, 497 nt
Filed under: uncultured bacterium
Lineage: Bacteria
Description: partial 16S ribosomal RNA
Rfam family: Bacterial small subunit ribosomal RNA
Source: RNAcentral